Long non-coding RNA from Neogale vison (American mink), 1398 nucleotides. RefSeq lists it as uncharacterized. The record is from RefSeq and is a predicted model, not a curated record. NCBI's taxonomy places the organism in Eukaryota, Metazoa, Chordata, Mammalia, Carnivora, Mustelidae. The transcript is spliced from 4 exons.
CGGAGGUAGCAGCGUCGGCGGUCCCUCUGGCUCCAACUUGACCGCCACCUCCGUCUGCUCCUCCGCCAGCGCCGCCAUCUUGCGGCUGAGCCACCUCGCGCCGUCAAGCGUGAUUGCGUUUUCGCCACAUGGAGGGCGGGGAGGAGCGUUUUACGACACCUUGGGAAGGCAAUGUACGGCAGUAGGAGGGGCGAGAAAGAAGGAGAAAAAGAAUAGGAGCAAGAGCAACUUUCAAAAAUGAGUGACAGAAAGGCAGGAAGUGGAAGGUGGCGACCGCCGGUAACAUUUGACUGUGGUUGAACUGAGACCCAAAGAGGUUGAACAACUUGCCAAAGUCUCGCAAGAAGAAAGUGAAAGUGUCAAGAUUUGAAUCCCGGUCUAAAACUCAAAAGCAAACCCGAAAGCCAGAGGAGGCUUCUGAGAUACUGGUAGUGACUCCCAGAGUAGGACUGCUAAAAGGUAAAAGGUCUUUGAACAUAAUUUUGAAAAGAAGAAAUAAUGGAAUCAUUUUCCAUAACCAUAAUAUACUAUUUUCAUGUCUGCUAAUGUACUCUCACUUUUUAAAGCUAUUACAUUUAAGUCUGCGAUCCAUUUAAGCUAAUUUUUGUAGAUGGUAAGAGGUAGAGGCCCAACUUCAUUCUUUUGCAUGUGGAUAUCCAGUUAUCCCUGCAUCAUUUGUUGAAAUUCUUGCCCCUUUAGAUGUUUUGGGAAAUUUGUGAAGAACCUAUUAGCUACAAAUGUGAGGGUUUAUUUCUGCACUCUCAAUUCUAUUCUGUUCGAUCUGUAUGUCUGUCCUUAUGCUAGCACCAUAGUGUUUUGAUUACUGUAGCUUUGUAGUUAAGUUCCCAAAUCAGGAUGUGUGUGUCUUCCACCUUCAUUCUUCUCUUUCAAGAUGGUUUUGGCUAUCCUUGGUCAAUUUUUUGUAGCAACAACAAGAAAAAAAUGGAUGUAUUGAUCCAUUGCCUUUAAUCAGAUUUAGUAUCAUUCCUAUAAACCUCUAUAAUGGAAUUCUAAGGAGGGUGUUUGGGCAUGAGGUGUUUGGGAAAACAUGUUUUAAUUUGGGAAAGGGACCAUGAUGCUUUAAAUCUUUGGAAUCUGACUUGUUUCAGAGGACUCUAAAGUUUUAUUUUCUUUCACAAAUACAAUUGUAUAACAUCAGAACAUAGACGGUAGGACUUGAGCAGUAGUACAGAAUUUUAGAUCAUUAACCAUGUGAUCCUUGAAAUCAAGACAAAGUUGUGUUUCAGGAACCCUCAUUAUGUUAACAAAUCAGCACAAGAAAUAGGUAUAAAUAUCUUAAAGUCUUGACCUUGAUUGGAGUCUGUAUUUUACUCAGUAUUAGUAAUUAUAUAUAUAAAACAUAUGCAUUCGAUGAUUUGAAACUGUUUUUUUUUUAAA